GAUGAACGCUAGCGGCAGGCCUAAUACAUGCAAGUCGAGGGGUAGAGAAGAGCUUGCUUUUCUUGAGACCGGCGCACGGGUGCGUAACGCGUAUGCAACCUACCUUUAUCAGGGGGAUAGCCUCUCGAAAGAGAGAUUAACACCGCAUAAAAACACAGUACGGCAUCGUACAAUGUUCAAAUAUUUAUAGGAUAAAGAUGGGCAUGCGUGACAUUAGCUAGUUGGGGAGGUAAGGGCUCACCAAGGCGACGAUGCCUGGGGGAACUGAGAAGAUGAACCCCCACACUGUUACUGAGACACGGACCAGACUCCUACGGGAGGCAGCAGUAAGGAAUAUUGGUCAAUGGGGGCAACCCUGAACCAGCCAUGCCGCGUGCAGGAAGACGGCCCUACGGGUUGUAAACUGCUUUUAUACGGGAAUAACCCCCUUUACGUGUAAAGGGUUGAAUGUACUGUAAGAAUAAGGAUCGGCUAACUCCGUGCCAGCCGCCGCCGUAA
This 498-nucleotide ribosomal RNA is filed under the name uncultured bacterium. RNAcentral's name for it is "partial 16S ribosomal RNA". It matches the Rfam family "Bacterial small subunit ribosomal RNA", at positions 28 to 523 of the family's 1533-position model. The record is from RNAcentral.